CAUGAUGUUUGAACUUUUGGAGCCAUGCUGUUCCAGGUGCUACAGAGGGGUACACCAUUAUUCUUAAUACCCCAGAUCUGAACGCCUCCAAACUUUAGGGAAGUUCGGAUCCAGUUUCAAACUUUACUUCUCGCACCCAUCUCUAAUAAUUGUUAUUAUUUGGUCGAGAAUAACAGUAAUAAUACCCAGCUCUUACAUCGUGUUUUGCAUUAGUAGCUCUCAAAGCAUUUUACAAAUGAGGUCAGGAUCAUUACUUCCAUUUUACCAAUGGGGAAAUUGAGGCACGGGAAGCCAAAGUGACUUGCCUAGUGUCACUGCACUGGCCAGUGACAGAGCCAAGGAUAGAACCCAGCUCUCCUGACUCCAGAGUUAUGAAGUUUAUACUUGGGUAGAGCUAAGAGGCAUGGUGGUGCUGCCUGCACCACACCUGUGUGUCUUCACGGUAUUCAAACUGGCACCUUUCACCAGCACAAAAUUCAACAACAUAAAUAAAUAACAAGAAGAAGAAGAAGGAAAAAUACACAGGCCCAAGCAAGCCCUUGAUUGCAUCACACAGAAAGAGGAUCAUAAGGCCCACUGGGUCAGAUGCCUGGGAGCCAAGCCAGCCUGGACGGUGUUUAAAUAGAAAGGUUAUAUCCCCUGUAUUGGGCAUGAAUUUCAGCUUUUCUGAUUUUCACCCAAAUCCAUAGGGCUGCCAACCCUCAGGGUCUAGCCUCCAGCAGUAUGCAGCCUCCUUGAGCUUGUCCCCUGGGGGAGAAACAAGCACACCCGCUGAAACACCUCUUGAGCAAGAAUAGAAUGUGGAAGGAGAUGAAAGUCUUCAGAACAUCCAGGAGACUGAAGAAAAAAAGGGGCAGGGAGGCAAUGGAAUCCAGUCUUGAUCUGAAGACCUUCAAGGGAUGGAGAAUCCACCACUUCCUUUGGCAGGCUGUUCUAGUGCUUAAUCAUUGGAUGGAAGUGACUUGCCCAAGGUACCACGCAGAGUCUGUGGCAGAGCAAGGAACAGAAUGCAGAUUUCUUGAGUCCUGGUCCAUUGCCUUAACUGUAAGACCAUCCAUCCCCUUAAUGGACCACUGACCCAUUUUAUUCACUAUUGUGAAAGUAUUAUCUAGCCUGGUGCUGCCUUUAGGUUUCAUUUGUUUGUAUGUAAAUCAGAUCAACCGUCUUAUUGUUUCUGUAUAAUGGAGUCAUUGAGUUUCUCUCUUACGUGUUAGU
This is a long non-coding RNA of Caretta caretta (loggerhead turtle), 1215 nucleotides long. RefSeq lists it as uncharacterized. NCBI's taxonomy places the organism in Eukaryota, Metazoa, Chordata, Testudines, Cheloniidae. The record is from RefSeq and is a predicted model, not a curated record.